This 2959-nucleotide long non-coding RNA is filed under the name Solanum tuberosum (potato). RNAcentral's name for it is "long non-coding RNA (STUB_LNC003885)". The record is from RNAcentral. Lineage: Eukaryota; Viridiplantae; Streptophyta; Magnoliopsida; Solanales; Solanaceae.
AGAAAAUAUGAGAAAGACGAGUUAUUAUAAGUGAAACAGUGAUAGGGCUACUCUCUAUUGGCAUGCAGUUUGUCACACAUUUCAGCUGACACGCCAAAGGGGAGCUGCCCUAUUACUGUCUCUGCUUAAUCUUAAACGAACAACUUUGUUAAUAGUUGAUUCUGUAGAUUCUCGAACACCCACACUUGGAUCUCAAACGUCUACACUCUACAUUGGUUUUAAUUUCUACUACGUAAAAGAAGAGGCGGAGUCAGCAUACUGGCACCCCCUUCGGUUAGUUCGUGUGUUUAAUUUUGAACCCCUUAUUAAAAAAUUUAACUUCACCAUUGCGUAUAAGAGUAGGAGAGAAUUCACUACAAAAUGGCAGUAUGUUUUUUAGCUCAAAUUCAAAGUUGAAAACAGACUUGAGGGAGGUUGGGUGAAGAAUUUGAAAUUCAUUAUUGUUGGACCUUGAAGAAACAGAUCAUAUGUUACAUGUAUAUCAUAUGCAUACAUUUUAAAUAUAAUCUACCCACGUCACGUGAAUCAGUUAUAUACAUGAUAUACAUAUAAUUAAUUUUCUUUAAUAAUUAUGUUUGCAUAUUCAUUUGAUUAGGCUCACUGUAAUUUUUCAGGAAGAAAAGAAGAUGCAAUUACCUACUUUUUUUUAUUAUCUUUUGACGGACAAUUACAUACAAAUUCUAUUUUAUGCUAUUUCAAAUGAGUCUUUGUGCAUAUUUUCGUUGAAAACCAGCACAAGUAAUCCUCUCCUGCGUACUAGAUCGAGGAUAUUCACAAAAACUAUUUUUGCUAUAAUUUUUUGGGAAAAUUUCAUAAAUAGGUAAAAUGUGAAAUAUAAUAGGCCUCCUUAUUUAGAGUUUGUCUAUUUACGUAGGGUAGUUAUAGUUUAAUGGCUAAACUGAUUCGCGUUUGUAUGAUUCAGAUUUUUUUAAUUGAUUAUACAAAUUAGGGAAAAGGGUCUGAUAUACCCUUCAACUUUGUCAUUUAAAGUUGAUAUGUCCCUCAUUAAAAACUGGCUCAUAUAUAUACCCUAUUGUUAUACAAAUGGCUCGCAUAUAUACCCUUUUCCUCUAACGAAAGUGAAAAAAAUAUUUUGAUUUAAUUUUUUAAUUAUGUUUUAAAAAAAAUCCAUAUGGGGUAUAUUUGAUCCUCCACAUGCAUAUUUUUUUUAUUUAUUACCAAAAAAAAAAAAGGAAAAUGAUCCCUUAAUUUAUGGUUAUUAUAUCUAAUUAGAAUUCCUUGCCUAAUAUGACUUCUUCUUUUUUUGACGGAAAAAACACGACCCGCUGUAUAUAACAAUUGUAAAUGUAUAUAAUUGAAUCGAAUUGUAAGAAAAAAAAUUGUAGUUGAAGUAUAUCUAUUUGUAUAAGCAAUAUGAUAUAUAGCAGUUUCUAUAUGUUUAUGAAUAAAUUUAUAAUAAGUUUUUGUAUAAAUUGAGUUGUAUAAAUCAAACAAGUUGUUAUGUAUAUUGUAUUGUAGUUAAAGUAUAUAAAGCAUACUUGUAUGUGUCUUAAAAUUAUGAAAUAUAUACAAAUAAAGCAUAUUUUAAACCAAAGAUAUAUACACAUAAAAUACCUAAUAUUUUUAGUUGUGUAAUUAUACAAUAUUGGACUAGCAUAAUUAUAAUUUUCAAAAUUUGAAUUUUUAAAAUUGGCUGAAUAAAAUUUUCAAAAUUUUAAUUUUAAUUUUAAUUUGAUUAAGUUAUUUAAUUAGGAGAAGUGAGAGAUUUUAGGAGAUAGAUUAGUGGGUGUGGUAAGAGAGACUGAGAGAGUGUUUUGAUUUGUAUAAAAGAUGAAAGACAAACUUACAUGUUUUGACACAAAUGGGACCCAUUAACUACCAUAUGUUAGCUUAAAUAUGUAAUUUUCCCUAAAUUUUAUAUAUUUCAUGAUUAAAGAUAUAAAUUCUUAGCUAUAACCUGAAAAUAUUGAUAGUAUAUACUUAGCCUCAACACAUAUUUACGAUGUUUUUAAUUUGUAACGGAAUACAAGUACAAUUGUCACCAGAUUAAGCUUAAUUUGUAAUGGAAUACAAGUACAGUUGUCACCAGAUUAAGCUAUAAAAAUAGCAAACAAAAUUUGAAUUUGUGACAAAUAAUCUUUUUUUUCUUUAUUACGAUGCAAUAUCUUGUGGCUACUAAAUUUCAACACUGAUGGGCGAUUAACAUCAUUACUCAACACCCAAAGAUAAUCUUACCUAUAAAAGUAUAUGUAAUUAAUCAUGACCACAUAAUGUGCCAUUCAUAUGACAUGUGAUUUUCUUCCUUUUAAAAAAUGCUAACUACAAUUAUUUAUGGAGGGAGUCUAAUCAGAAUACCUUCAUGAAUUUCAUAUUCGAAUAGCACCAAAUCUUUCUAGUGGUCCUUAAGCACUGCCUAAAUUUUGGCUAUACAUAGUGGAUGGAUUAGACUGAAUAUGAGUGGAUUAAAAUAAAUUGAGUUAAUAAUAAACAUGUUAUUACUUGAGUUAAAAUUAAUCCAAUCAAAAUCAGAUAAAUAAUGGGUCAUAGGCUCAUAGCUCAAGACUCACGUCAUUCAACUCUUUCCAUGAUUAAGUUCUUUGUUAUUUUUUAUAAUUUAUUUAAUUACCUAAUCAAACUUCUUUUUUUUAAUUGAAAUUUUCAGGCCUUUUAUUGAUGAGAAGGAAGAGAACAGACAGAGGGGGAAAGCUAGUGGGAGAGUCCGCGACCAACCAAACUAUAUUGUUGUUGAACGGCACAUAAUUAUGGAUUCAAAAGAAUAUUUUCGUCUGAAAAAUUAUUACUAUGCAAAUAACGUUAAUUAUAUGUAUAAGUUUGUCGAAUUAUUUUUAACCCCUACUCCAAGAGCUCUCACAUUUACUCUCUUGGUGACUCGAAUUCACAACCUUAACAUUGGUAAUUUAUUUCUGUAUUUCUUCCUUUGAGACUCUCUUGUUAAGGGGGAGUUAACAUCUAUUUGAUUUACUGGGUUUGAAAUUUA